This 89-nucleotide ribosomal RNA is filed under the name Treponema sp. Lineage: Bacteria; Pseudomonadati; Spirochaetota; Spirochaetia; Treponematales; Treponemataceae. The record is from RNAcentral.
CCCGAUCCCAUCCCGAACUCGGAAGUUAAGCCUUCCCGCGCCGAUGAUACUGCGCCCCUAAAUCGCGGGAAAGUAGGUCUCCGCCAGGC